CCUACGGGAGGCUGCAGUGGGGAAUAUUGCACAAUGGGGGAAACCCUGAUGCAGCGACGCCGCGUGAGUGAGGAAGUAUUUCGGUAUGUAAAGCUCUAUCAGCAGGGAAGAAAAUGACGGUACCUGACUAAGAAGCCCCGGCUAACUACGUGCCAGCAGCCGCGGUAAUACGUAGGGGGCAAGCGUUAUCCGGAUUGACUGGGUGUAAAGGGAGCGUAGACGGUUAAUCAAGUCAGAAGUGAAAACCCAGGGCUCAACCUUGGGACUGCUUUGGAAACUGGGUAGCUUGAGUGCAGGAGAGGAGAGGGGAAUGCGAUGUGGGGCGGUGGACUGGGUAGAUAUAUGGGGGGUCGCGAGUGGCGAAGGGGGGUCUAUGGUCUGUAACGGAAGCUGAGGCUCGUACGGGUGGGGAGAUAACAGGAUUAGAUAGAGUAGUAGUC
This 440-nucleotide ribosomal RNA is filed under the name uncultured bacterium. RNAcentral describes it as "partial 16S ribosomal RNA". It matches the Rfam family "Bacterial small subunit ribosomal RNA", at positions 338 to 795 of the family's 1533-position model. The record is from RNAcentral.